RNAcentral lists this ribosomal RNA (500 nucleotides) under uncultured bacterium. RNAcentral describes it as "partial 16S ribosomal RNA". It matches the Rfam family "Bacterial small subunit ribosomal RNA", at positions 29 to 523 of the family's 1533-position model. The record is from RNAcentral.
AUUGAACGCUGGCGGCAUGCCUUACACAUGCAAGUCGAACGGAUCAGAGGGGCUUGCUCCUUUGGUUAGUGGCGAACGGGUGAGUAAAGCAUCGGAACGUACCCAGUUGUGGGGGAUAACGUAGCGAAAGUUACGCUAAUACCGCAUACGCACUGAGGUGGAAAGCGGGGGACCGAAAGGCCUCGCGCAAUUGGAGCGGCCGAUGUCGGAUUAGCUAGUUGGUGAGGUAAAGGCUCACCAAGGCGACGAUCCGUAGCUGGUCUGAGAGGACGACCAGGCACGCAGGAACUGAGACACGGUCCAGACGCCUACGGGAGGGAGCAGUGGGGAAUGUUGGACAAUGGGCGAAAGCCCGAUCCAGCCAUGCCGCGUGAGUGAAGAAGGCCUUCGGGUUGUAAAGCUCUUUCAGACGGAAAGAAAUCUUUCGGGUGAAUAUCCCGGAAGGAUGACGGUACCGUAAGAAGAAGCACCGGCUAACUACGUGCCAGCCGCCGCGGUAA